CCUACGGGUGGCUGCAGCGGGGAAUAUUGCACAAUGGGCGCAAGCCUGAUGCAGCCAUGCCGCGUGUGUGAAGAAGGCCUUCGGGUUGUAAAGCACUUUCAGCGGGGAGGAAGGCGUUAAGGUUAAUAACCUUGUCGAUUGACGUUACCCGCAGAAGAAGCACCGGCUAACUCCGUGCCAGCAGCCGCGGUAAUACGGAGGGUGCAAGCGUUAAUCGGAAUUACUGGGCGUAAAGCGCACGCAGGCGGUCUGUCAAGUCGGAUGUGAAAUCCCCGGGCUCAACCUGGGAACUGCAUUCGAAACUGGCAGGCUAGAGUCUUGUAGAGGGGGGUAGAAUUCGAGGUGUAGCGGCGAAAUGCGUAGAGAUCUGGAGGAAUACCGGUGGCGAAGGCGGCCCCCUGGACAAAGACUGACGCUCAGGUGCGAAAGCGUGGGGAGCAAACAGGAUUAGAUACCCGUGUAGUC
RNAcentral lists this ribosomal RNA (465 nucleotides) under uncultured Klebsiella sp. Its description in RNAcentral is "bacterial SSU rRNA". It matches the Rfam family "Bacterial small subunit ribosomal RNA", at positions 338 to 795 of the family's 1533-position model. Lineage: Bacteria; Pseudomonadati; Pseudomonadota; Gammaproteobacteria; Enterobacterales; Enterobacteriaceae. The record is from RNAcentral.